Molecule: ribosomal RNA, 502 nt
Filed under: uncultured bacterium
Lineage: Bacteria
Description: partial 16S ribosomal RNA
Rfam family: Bacterial small subunit ribosomal RNA
Source: RNAcentral
GACGAACGCUGGCGGCGUGCCUAAUACAUGCAAGUCGAACGAACCGCGACUAGGUGCUUGCACUUGGUCAAGGUGAGUGGCGAACGGGUGAGUAACACGUGGGUAACCUACCUCAUAGGGGGGGCUAACAGUCGGAAACGACUGCUAAUACCGCAUAGGACAUAGGAUCACAUGAUUCUGUGAGGAAAGGUGGCGCAAGCUAUCGCUAAGAGAUGGACCCGCGGUGCAUUAGCUAGUUGGUAGGGUAAAGGCCUACCAAGGCGAUGAUGCAUAGCCGACCUGAGAGGGUGAUCGGCCACAUUGGGACUGAGACACGGCCCAAACUCCUACGGGAGGCAGCAGUAGGGAAUCUUCCGCAAUGGACGAAAGUCUGACGGAGCAACGCCGCGUGAGUGAAGAAGGUCUUCGGAUCGUAAAGCUCUGUUGUUAGAGAAGAACAGCGCAUAGAGUAACUGUUAUGCGUGUGACGGUAUCUAACCAGAAAGCCACGGCUAACUACGUG